This 229-nucleotide ribosomal RNA is filed under the name uncultured bacterium. Its description in RNAcentral is "partial 16S ribosomal RNA". It matches the Rfam family "Bacterial small subunit ribosomal RNA", at positions 568 to 796 of the family's 1533-position model. The record is from RNAcentral.
UCCGUAGGCGGACUAAUAAGUCAGGGGUGAAAUCCCACAGCUUAACUGUGGAACUGCCUUUGAUACUGUUAGUCUUGAGUUAUAUGGAAGUAGAUAGAAUGUGUAGUGUAGCGGUGAAAUGCAUAGAUAUUACACAGAAUACCGAUUGCGAAGGCAGUCUACUACGUAUAUACUGACGCUAAUGGACGAAAGCGUGGGGAGCGAACAGGAUUAGAUACCCUGGUAGUCC